AGAGCCUACCGCAAAAAUGCGGCCCAUCAUGAAAAGUGGGCUAAAUGGUGGCACUACACUGGUACUGGGCCAGAUAUAUGUGGCUAGUGGGCUGGUUCUUCAUGAUUAGAUUCGAACCAAGUUCAUCAAUCGCCACAUUUAAUUUUUGCCUUACCAUUCAUGUAUCCAAUUUUUUUUAAUAAUCUCGGCCUAUGAGGAUCUGUUUUUUGCAAAGAUGUUAUGCUAAUUUACUUACGUAGCUCUUGUAGCU
This 250-nucleotide long non-coding RNA is filed under the name Setaria viridis. RNAcentral's name for it is "long non-coding RNA (SVIR_LNC009632)". Lineage: Eukaryota; Viridiplantae; Streptophyta; Magnoliopsida; Poales; Poaceae. The record is from RNAcentral.